Molecule: ribosomal RNA, 428 nt
Filed under: Solanum tuberosum (potato)
Lineage: Eukaryota; Viridiplantae; Streptophyta; Magnoliopsida; Solanales; Solanaceae
Description: rRNA LSU_rRNA_eukarya
Rfam family: Eukaryotic large subunit ribosomal RNA
Source: RNAcentral
GGUAGUAGAAAAUAUUCAAAUGAGAACUUUGAAGGCCGAAAAGGGGAAAGGUUCAAUGUGAACGGCACCAGCACAUGGGUUAGUCAAUCGUAUGGGUCGGGGGUACCCCGACAGAUAGCGCAUUUCGCGUGUACUCCGUAAUGGAAUGGGUUAAAAUUCCUGAACCAGAACGUGGAGGUUAACGACAAUGUUAGGAAGUCGGCAAACGUUGGUGGGAGCUUCGGGAAGAGUUGUCUUUUCUAUUUAACAGCAUGCCCACCAUGGAAUCGGCUAGCCGGAGGUAGAGUCCAGCGGCUGGAAGAGCACCUCACGUCACGUGGUGUCUGGUGCGCUCCCGGCGAUCCUUGAAAAUCCAGAGGACCUAAUGCCGUCGACACUCGGUCAUACUCAUAACUGCAUCAGGUCUCCAAGGUGAACAACCUCUGGUU